AUACGUAGGGUGCAAGCGUUAAUCGGAAUUACUGGGCGUAAAGCGUGCGCAGGCGGUUUUGUAAGACAGAGGUGAAAUCCCCGGGCUCAACCUGGGAACUGCCUUUGUGACUGCAAGGCUAGAGUACGGCAGAGGGGGAUGGAAUUCCGCGUGUAGCAGUGAAAUGCGUAGAUAUGCGGAGGAACACCGAUGGCGAAUGCGAUCCCCGGGGCCUAUACUGGCGCUCAUGCACGAAAGCGUGGGGAGCAAACAUGAUUAGAUACCCUGGUAGUCCACGCCCUAAGCGAUGUCAACUGGUUGUUGGGUCUUCAUUGACGCAGUAACGAAGCUAACGCGUGAAGUUGACCGCCUGGGGAGUACGGCCGCAAGGUUGAAACUCAAAUGAAUUGACGGGG
Molecule: ribosomal RNA, 395 nt
Filed under: uncultured bacterium
Lineage: Bacteria
Description: partial 16S ribosomal RNA
Rfam family: Bacterial small subunit ribosomal RNA
Source: RNAcentral